RNAcentral lists this ribosomal RNA (207 nucleotides) under uncultured Gammaproteobacteria bacterium. RNAcentral describes it as "uncultured gamma proteobacterium partial 16S ribosomal RNA". It matches the Rfam family "Bacterial small subunit ribosomal RNA", at positions 568 to 774 of the family's 1533-position model. The record is from RNAcentral. Lineage: Bacteria; Pseudomonadati; Pseudomonadota; Gammaproteobacteria.
CGCGUAGGUGGUUUGAUAAGUUGGAUGUGAAAGCCCCGGGCUCAACCUGGGAAUUGCAUCCAAAACUGUCUGACUAGAGUACGGUAGAGGGUAGUGGAAUUUCCUGUGUAGCGGUGAAAUGCGUAGAUAUAGGAAGGAACACCAGUGGCGAAGGCGACUACCUGGACUGAUACUGACACUGAGGUGCGAAAGCGUGGGGAGCAAACA